Molecule: long non-coding RNA, 1048 nt
Organism: Myotis brandtii (Brandt's bat)
Lineage: Eukaryota; Metazoa; Chordata; Mammalia; Chiroptera; Vespertilionidae
Exons: 2
Source: RefSeq, a predicted model, not a curated record
CUGAACUACAUUUGAAAUCAAUUAUUCUCUUCUCCCCAGGGAGUUCUCUUCUGUUCUGCCUGUUGCCCUGAUUUGCCAUUUAUUUAUGCCUUUGGAGGUCAGAAAGAAGGGCUUCGGGUCUGGGAUAUAAGCACAGUGUCUUCGGUAAAUGAAGCAUUUGGAAGACGAGAGAGGCUUGCUCUUGGUAAUACAAGAAAUUCAUCAAUUAAUGGCCCUUUUGGAAGCAGGAGCUCAGACACACCAAUGGAGUCUUAAUGAGGAUCAUGCAAUUUCCUGUUUUGUUUACCUUAACUCAAUUUUAAAAGCUGGCCUAAAAUGUACCAUGUGUAGUGACAGAAUCAAAAUUGAUUUCCAACUACCUGACAUUCCUCUAGUGGUAGCUAAACAAGGCUGCUCAGAGUGCUUGCCGUUCCAGUCUGCAGUGUAUAAAGCUCCCGUUGCAGAUCUCCUUGGAAAGGGUAAUAAAGGUUUUAAAAAAAUGAUUCCUUAAAUAUGCCAUCUGUCACAGGUAAUCUAAGUUUGUAACGUAGCUAGUAAUUUACAGGAUUUUGCUCUUUUUAAAAAUUAUAUGAUCUUAAUAGAUGGGUAAACCCAGGUCAGGAAGAGUUGUGGUUUGGCCGACAUUGCACAGUAGGCCACAAACAGAGGAGUGCAGUUUCCAAACUGACUGUUCUGCAGUUAAUGCUCAUGACUUAGAAGUGUAGAAGUGUUCUCAAAGAAGAGAGACAUCAUAUGAUAAAGGUUCAAUCCAGCAAGAGGAUAUAACAUUCAUAAAUUUUAUGCACCCCAACAUAGGACUGGAUAAAUACAGUAAUAGUAGGGGCCUUUAAUAUUCUACUUUCACCAAUGGCUAGAUACUUCAGACAGAAAAAUCAAUAAACAGUGUCCUUAAACAACUUGUUAGACCAAGAAGACGUGACAUUACAGAACAUUCCAUCCAAGAAACAAUAUAGAUUCUUCUCAAACAAGGAAAAAUUCUACAGGACAGAUCGUUACAUCACAAAAUGUGUCUCAAUAAAUUUUUACUUUAGUUUUUCCCUUCCAGUAA